This 305-nucleotide unclassified non-coding RNA is filed under the name uncultured fungus. RNAcentral describes it as "partial contains small subunit ribosomal RNA, internal transcribed spacer 1, and 5.8S ribosomal RNA". The stretch from base 1 to 73 matches the Rfam family "Eukaryotic small subunit ribosomal RNA", at positions 1759 to 1831 of the family's 1831-position model. The record is from RNAcentral. Lineage: Eukaryota; Fungi.
GCAAACUUGGUCAUUUAGAGGAAGUAAAAGUCGUAACAAGGUUUCCGUAGGUGAACCUGCGGAAGGAUCAUUACUGAGUGCCGGUCCCUCGUGGACCGAACCUCCCACCCUUGUCUCUUGUAUACCCUGUUGCUUUGGCGGGCCCACUGGGAAUCCCCAGUCGCCGAGGGGCACUGUGCCCCUGGGCCCGUGCCCGCCAGAGCGCCCUUGAACCCUAAUGAAGAUGGACUGUCUGAGCAUUUUUGAUAAUAAUCAAAACUUUCAACAAUGGAUCUCUUGGUUCCGGCAUCGAUGAAGAACGCAGC